CAGUAGCCGCGGGAAUACGGAGGGUGCAAGCGUUAAUCGGAAUUACUGGGCGUAAAGCGUGCGUAGGCGGUUCGUUAAGUCUGUUGUGAAAGCCCCGGGCUCAACCUGGGAAUGGCAAUGGAUACUGGCGAGCUAGAGUGUGUCAGAGGAUGGUGGAAUUCCCGGUGUAGCGGUGAAGUGCGUAGAGAUCGGGAGGAACAUCAGUGGCGAAGGCGGCCAUCUGGGACAACACUGACGCUGAGGCACGAAAGCGUGGGGAGCAAACAGGAUUAGAUACCCCAGUAGUCCCUGUCUCUUAUAC
RNAcentral lists this ribosomal RNA (301 nucleotides) under uncultured bacterium. Its description in RNAcentral is "partial 16S ribosomal RNA". It matches the Rfam family "Bacterial small subunit ribosomal RNA", at positions 509 to 807 of the family's 1533-position model. The record is from RNAcentral.